This 255-nucleotide ribosomal RNA is filed under the name Listeria monocytogenes. RNAcentral describes it as "partial 16S ribosomal RNA". It matches the Rfam family "Bacterial small subunit ribosomal RNA", at positions 180 to 428 of the family's 1533-position model. Lineage: Bacteria; Bacillati; Bacillota; Bacilli; Caryophanales; Listeriaceae. The record is from RNAcentral.
AGUGUGGCGCAUGCCACGCUUUUGAAAGAUGGUUUCGGCUAUCGCUUACAGAUGGGCCCGCGGUGCAUUAGCUAGUUGGUAGGGUAAUGGCCUACCAAGGCAACGAUGCAUAGCCGACCUGAGAGGGUGAUCGGCCACACUGGGACUGAGACACGGCCCAGACUCCUACGGGAGGCAGCAGUAGGGAAUCUUCCGCAAUGGACGAAAGUCUGACGGAGCAACGCCGCGUGUAUGAAGAAGGUUUUCGGAUCGUAA